Molecule: long non-coding RNA, 1038 nt
Organism: Fukomys damarensis (Damara mole-rat)
Lineage: Eukaryota; Metazoa; Chordata; Mammalia; Rodentia; Bathyergidae
Exons: 5
Source: RefSeq, a predicted model, not a curated record
GCAGCCCAGGGUGAUCUUGAAUUUGUGAUUCUCCUGUCUCAGCCUCCCAAGUGCUUCAAUUACAAGCAUGGACCAUCAUGCCCAACACUAUAUUUAAAGUCAAGAUUUUCUUCUUUGAGCCUGUCACCUCAAGAUCACAACAGGGCCGCCGCUUCUCAGGCACAACAUUUUCAUAAAGGCACAGGAGAAGAUCUCAAAUACAGAAAAGGCAAUGUCGCUAAAGUUCUAAUUCAAACUUUCACAUUACUUAUAAGGGCUGUAUAUAAAAGGAAGGAGAUAGCUCAGAUCCUAGAAGGAGGCUGGCAGUAGUGAUCUCAAAGCCCCAUCUCAUCUCUGCCCACCCUCCUCUGCCUGUCCAGCAUCAUGAAGACCCUCGUGAUUGCCCUCUUGCUCCCCUCUCUGCACAACAAUGCACUGCUCCUGUGAAGAAGGUAAGAGUCACACCGCCCCUGACUGCUGCCUCUCCUUCAUCUCCCGUUGGAACCCGCAAUCUUGUGGUAGCCCAUUAUAAGACCGGCAGCAGUGCCACACAAGUGGUAUCCUCUUUUUCACCAAAAAAGGCCUGUAUAUCUGUGCUGAUCCCAGCAAUGCCUGGGUCCAGAAAUACAUCAAGGACCUGGACGCGAAUUCUAGAAUGGUCCAAGAACCAGGGAGAGGUGCUGGAGGAUGGAGAGCCAGGGGAAUGAUCCUGCAGCCCCAUGAGUUAUCUCUGCUGUGAGUCCUCCUCCCUCCACUAACCACACUCUGAAACCUUUCUCAACUUUAAUUUAGUUAAGCCACUUAAAUUUUAAACCAUGUUACUCACCUGAUGUUUCCUCUGAGACGUCAAAUGAUCCCCUCUUAUUCUUAGUCCCCUCCCCAGUCAUUCAUACAGUGACUGACGGAUAGUUAUAAUGAAAGACUGUGCUCCUCUCUCUGAGUAUUCAUUUGACCAAAUCUAUCAACGGAUGCUUACUGAGUUUUUAGGAGCCCUUUACUCUGCUCAAACCAACAUCAGAACAAUGAAAAUUAUUUUAUAUUCUGAAAUAAACCUUGGGC